Molecule: unclassified non-coding RNA, 566 nt
Filed under: Aspergillus jensenii
Lineage: Eukaryota; Fungi; Ascomycota; Eurotiomycetes; Eurotiales; Aspergillaceae
Description: sequence contains 18S rRNA gene, ITS1, 5.8S rRNA gene, ITS2, 28S rRNA gene
Rfam family: 5.8S ribosomal RNA (bases 198-351)
Source: RNAcentral
GUAACAAGGUUUCCGUAGGUGAACCUGCGGAAGGAUCAUUACCGAGUGCGGGCUGCCUCCGGGCGCCCAACCUCCCACCCGUGACUACCUAACACUGUUGCUUCGGCGGGGAGCCCUCUCGGGGGCGAGCCGCCGGGGACUACUGAACUUCAUGCCUGAGAGUGAUGCAGUCUGAGUCUGAAUAUAAAAUCAGUCAAAACUUUCAACAAUGGAUCUCUUGGUUCCGGCAUCGAUGAAGAACGCAGCGAACUGCGAUAAGUAAUGUGAAUUGCAGAAUUCAGUGAAUCAUCGAGUCUUUGAACGCACAUUGCGCCCCCUGGCAUUCCGGGGGGCAUGCCUGUCCGAGCGUCAUUGCUGCCCAUCAAGCCCGGCUUGUGUGUUGGGUCGUCGUCCCCCCCGGGGGACGGGCCCGAAAGGCAGCGGCGGCACCGUGUCCGGUCCUCGAGCGUAUGGGGCUUUGUCACCCGCUCGAUUAGGGCCGGCCGGGCGCCAGCCGACGUCUCCAACCAUUUUCUUCAGGUUGACCUCGGAUCAGGUAGGGAUACCCGCUGAACCUAAGCAUAUCA